RNAcentral lists this ribosomal RNA (475 nucleotides) under uncultured bacterium. RNAcentral's name for it is "bacterial SSU rRNA". It matches the Rfam family "Bacterial small subunit ribosomal RNA", at positions 47 to 511 of the family's 1533-position model. The record is from RNAcentral.
CCUAACACAUGCAAGUCGAACGGUAACAGGAAGAAGCUUGCUUCUUUGCUGACGAGUGGCGGACGGGUGAGUAAUGUCUGGGAAACUGCCUGAUGGAGGGGGAUAACUACUGGAAACGGUAGCUAAUACCGCAUAACGUCGCAAGACCAAAGAGGGGGACCUUCGGGCCUCUUGCCAUCGGAUGUGCCCAGAUGGGAUUAGCUAGUAGGUGGGGUAACGGCUCACCUAGGCGACGAUCCCUAGCUGGUCUGAGAGGAUGACCAGCCACACUGGAACUGAGACACGGUCCAGACUCCUACGGGAGGCAGCAGUGGGGAAUAUUGCACAAUGGGCGCAAGCCUGAUGCAGCCAUGCCGCGUGUAUGAAGAAGGCCUUCGGGUUGUAAAGUACUUUCAGCGGGGAGGAAGGGAGUAAAGUUAAUACCUUUGCUCAUUGACGUUACCCGCAGAAGAAGCACCGGCUAACUCCGUGCCAG